RNAcentral lists this ribosomal RNA (253 nucleotides) under uncultured bacterium. Its description in RNAcentral is "partial 16S ribosomal RNA". It matches the Rfam family "Bacterial small subunit ribosomal RNA", at positions 524 to 776 of the family's 1533-position model. The record is from RNAcentral.
UACGUAGGUGGCAAGCGUUGUCCGGAUUUAUUGGGUUUAAAGGGUGCGUAGGUGGUCUAUUAAGUCAGUGCUGAAAUAUCCCGGCUUAACCGGGAGGGUGGCAUUGAUACUGAUAGACUUGAGUAAAGUUGAGGUGGGCGGAAUUGACGGUGUAGCGGUGAAAUGCUUAGAUAUCGUCAAGAACACCUAUUGCGAAGGCAGCUGACUGCGCGAGUAUUGACACUGAGGCACGAAAGCGUGGGGAUCAAACAGG